UUUCCGUAGGUGAACCUGCGGAAGGAUCAUUCAUAAUAAAGUGUUUUAUGGCACUUUUUAAAAAUCCAUAUCCACCUUGUGUGCAAUGUUAGAUCUCGUCAAUCUUGGCGAGAUUUUUAUACAUCAACUCAUUCUUUAACUAUUUGUCUGAAAAAUAUUAUGAAUACUUAAUUCAAAAUACAACUUUCAACAACGGAUCUCUUGGCUCUCGCUCGAUGAAGAACGCAGC
This 229-nucleotide unclassified non-coding RNA is filed under the name plant metagenome. RNAcentral's name for it is "partial contains small subunit ribosomal RNA, internal transcribed spacer 1, and 5.8S ribosomal RNA". The stretch from base 182 to 229 matches the Rfam family "5.8S ribosomal RNA", at positions 1 to 49 of the family's 154-position model. The record is from RNAcentral.